Cinara cedri is the source of this 213-nucleotide non-coding RNA. Lineage: Eukaryota; Metazoa; Arthropoda; Insecta; Hemiptera; Aphididae. The record is from the annotation of a GenBank genome assembly.
CUCUGUUCAGAAUCAUUUUUCCGCUAACAAUAGUUUGUCGUUACUUACAUCUGUAUACACCUGUACACUAAAAUAUUACCUAUAACAGUAGCUCUGUUCAGUAGCUCUGUAGCUCAGUAGCAUCUGUUCCUAUGGCAUCCUAGGACGUAUUUUUUUUCACAAUCGAAUGUGUGAUUCGAAUACGUAUUUCGGCCAAUUUUACCUUGUACUUUU